This 168-nucleotide ribosomal RNA is filed under the name uncultured bacterium. RNAcentral describes it as "partial 16S ribosomal RNA". It matches the Rfam family "Bacterial small subunit ribosomal RNA", at positions 332 to 517 of the family's 1533-position model. The record is from RNAcentral.
GUUACUCCUACGGGAGGCAGCAGUGGGGAAUAUUGCACAAUGGGGGAAACCCUGAUGCAGCCAUGCCGCGUGUGUGAAGAAGGCCUUCGGGUUGUAAAGCACUUUCAGUAGGGAGGAAGGUAGUGUAGUUAACACCUGCAUUAUUGACGUACAUCGAGAUCCCAGUCG